CCCGGUGGGAUCCAGGGCGUCGGGAGAGAGAGAGAGAGAGAGAGAGAGAGAGCCGGCGGCAGCUGUACGCGCUCCUCGACCUCAUCCUCUUCGGGCCGGCUACCUCAAAUGGUCCUCCGGCGGCGGUGUAGAUCUCCGGAACCCGAUCGCGUGGCUCCAGCCUCGAAUGAAGUUAACCUGUUCGUUGACCAUAGCGAGGGGUGGUCCGCCUACCUACCGGAUGAUGUCGUUCGGCACCCACGACCAGGUGGUGGAUGAUGGCUUCGACGAGCGGAACCUUCCAGGUGGGCUUGUCUCUGCAAGGUAGAUGUUCCUCUUGUUAAGUGAUGCACCCUGUUCAGUCUCCAAUCCUUGAAGAACCUGACAUUUCAAGAUCGCUAGAGCAUCAAUGGAUCGAUAGAUACAAUAUACUAUCUGGAAGCAUCUUCUCUAUGAUGAGAAUCCAAAGAAAGUGAAGCUUGUUCAAGGUGUAAAGAACAAGUAGCCAUUGCAGAGGGUAUCCUGAGAGAGCCAGAUGAGACUGGGGGAGGAGUGAAAGAGGUGGACACUCCUGCAUGGGAAAAGCCUUCCGUAGAAGG
Musa acuminata AAA Group (dessert banana) is the source of this 578-nucleotide long non-coding RNA. RefSeq lists it as uncharacterized. NCBI's taxonomy places the organism in Eukaryota, Viridiplantae, Streptophyta, Magnoliopsida, Zingiberales, Musaceae. The record is from RefSeq and is a predicted model, not a curated record. The transcript has 3 exons.